AAUCUCCAUGCUGCCUCAAUGUAUGUCAUUUUGGUGGUGGUGGUGAAAUGUUUUGGUAAAAAUAGCUCUCUUAAAUAUUAUCUUAGCCUUUGUAUCUAAAUAAAUUAGCUGAUAAAAUACAAGUGACUACCUGGGGUAUAUCUGGAUAAAACAGUGAUUUUUUUUUUAAUUUCUUUUUUUAUAUGCUUCAGCCCAUGUUAUUUGAGGGAACUUUUAAGUCUUGUUUAAACAACCAGAAGUUCUCUCUCUAAAGGGCAUUGUGUGGUUCUGUACAUCACAGCCCAUCACUUAACACACACUGAGCACAGAUGUCAUCUCUUUCUUUCAAAGAAAAAUAUGACAAAGGGCGAUGGGAUUUCACAAGGCCUAAGAAUUCCCAAGUAGCAGGAACCCCCAGAAGCUGGAUCUGUUGCCAGCAUGUUUGGCUUUCAGGAAAUGGAAAACAUCCAUUUCCACAGCCCCUCAAUGCCCUCAGCAGUUUCUGCAUUUACUUGCCUCCCCUUUCUGCACAGCUCCUGUUGAGUUACACAUUCAUUACAUUUAUGACAACUCAAAUUUAACUUAAUUUCCUUGCAAUGCUCCCUCUCUCUUAGACCUGAACUCCUGGAACACCUCCAGGAAAUGAGAGAAGAAAAGAAAAGGAUUCGAAAGAAACUUCGGGAUUUUGAAGACAACUUUUUCAGACAGAACGGAAGAAAUGUCCAGAAGGAAGACCGCACUCCUAUGGCUGAAGAAUACAGUGAAUAUAAGCACAUAAAGGCGAAACUGAGGCUCCUGGAGGUGCUCAUCAGCAAGAGAGACACUGAUUCCAAGUCCAUGUGAGGGGCAUGGCCAAGCACAGGGGGCUGGCAGCUGUGGUGAGAGUUUACUGUCUCCAGAGAAAGUGCAGCUCUGGAAGGCAGCCUUGGGGCUGGCCCUGCAAAGCAUGCAGCCCUUCUGCCUCUAGACCAUUUGGCAUCGGCUCCUGUUUCCAUUGCCUGCCUUAGAAACUGGCUGGAAGAAGACAAUGUGACCUGACUUAGGCAUUUUGUAAUUGGAAAGUCAAGAUUGCAGUAUGUGCACAUGCGCGCGCGCGCACACACACACACACACACACACACACACACACACACACACACACACACACACACACACACACACACACACACACACACAGUAGUGGAGCUUUCCUAACACUAGCAGAGAUGAAUCACUACAUUAGACAACACUCAUCUACAGAGAAUAUACACUGUUCUUCCCUGGAUAACUGAGAAACAUGAGACCAUUCUCUGUCUAACUGUGACAAAAACAAGCUCAGGACUUUAUUCUAUAGAGCAAACUUGCUGUGGAGGGCCAUGCUCUCCUUGGACCCAGUUAAGUGCAAACGUGCAUUGGAGCCCUAUUUGCUGCCGCUGCCAUUCUAGUGACCUUUCCACAGAGCUGCGCCUUCCUCACAUGUGUGAAAGGUUUUCCCCUUCAGCCCUCAGGUAGAUGGAAGCUGCAUCUGCCCACGAUGGCAGUGCAGUCAUCAUCUUCAGGGUGUUUCUUCAGGACUUCCUCAGCUGACAAGGAAUUUUGGUCCCUGCCUAGGACCGGGUCAUCUGCAGAAGACAGAGAGAUGGUAAGCAGCUGUAUGAAUGCUGAUUUUAAAACCAGGUGAUGGGAGAAGAGCCUGGAGAUUCUUUCCUGAACACUGACUGCACUUACCAGUCUCAGAUUUUAUCGUCAAACACCAAGCCAGGCCAGCAUGCAACCUGUUUGGGGCUGUUUUGUUGUGGCACUAGCCAAACAUAAAGGGGCUUAAGUCAGCCUGCAUACAGAGGAUCGGGGAGAGAAGGGGCCUGUGUUCUCUGCCUCCUGAGUACUUACCAGAGUUUAAUUUUUUUAAAAAAAAAAAUCUGCACUAAAAUCCCCAAACUGACAGGUAAAUGUAGCCCUCAGAGCUCAGCCCAAGGCAGAAUCUAAAUCACACUAUUUUCGAGAUCACGUAUAAAAAGAAAGUCAUGCUGUGUGGCCAAUUAUAAUUUUUUUCAAAGACUUUGUCACAAAACUGUCUAUAUUAGACAUUUUGGAGGGACCAGGAAAUGUAAGACACCAAAUCAUCCAUCUCUUCAGUGUGCUUGAUGUCGCCUCGUGAUUUGCUGUUACUUUUUUAACUCCUGCGCCAAGGACAGUGGGUUCUGGGUCCACCUUUGUGCUUUGCGAGGCCGAGCCCAGGCGUCUGCUCGCCUGCCACGGCUGACCAGAGAAGGUGCUUCAGGAGCUCUGCCUUUGACGACGUGUUACAGUAUGAACACACAGCAGAGGCACCCUCCUGUAUGUUUUGAAAGUUGCCUUCUGAAAGGGCACAGUUUUAAG
Molecule: small RNA, 2337 nt
Filed under: Pongo abelii (Sumatran orangutan)
Lineage: Eukaryota; Metazoa; Chordata; Mammalia; Primates; Hominidae
Description: retained intron
Source: RNAcentral